RNAcentral lists this long non-coding RNA (656 nucleotides) under Nicotiana benthamiana. RNAcentral's name for it is "long non-coding RNA (NBEN_LNC008246)". Lineage: Eukaryota; Viridiplantae; Streptophyta; Magnoliopsida; Solanales; Solanaceae. The record is from RNAcentral.
AUCAGCAUCCGUUAAGAAAAAGAUUUUAGGGAAAAAAGUGACAGAGCCGGGGCUUGAACUUUGAUGUCUAAGUAUCAUUUGAGUAAAGUCAAGUCUACAAAAUUUUGCUGAACUUGUGAUCUUUCUCAGUGUACUGCAUUUUUUGAGAAGCUGGAAGAACCUGCUUUCGAUGUCCAUUAGUUGUGCUAGUCUCACCCUCUGGAAUUUUGCUUCGUAGGGAAUAUAAGUCAUGUCCAAAACCUCAAGGCUCGACAAUUUGGAAAACAGAGCCGUUGAAACCUCUAUUUCUUAGAGUUAAAACUUGAAUCAUGUUCAAGAAAUCAACUACGAUGGUAGUUGCCCAUUGAAGUUUUUCUAAUCUAGUUUGAUGCUUCCUAGUUGCCCAUUGAAGUCGUUAAUUAACAAGAUCCUUUGGCAGAUCUCCCAUGGAAAUAGUUCCACUCAUAUCAUACUAUAUAUACAUACUAAAAGUGGGAACAUAGUAAGAGCCUGCUCGGAAAGCCACGUAGGAAUUAGAUUUGAGUGUAAUUUCGUGUAAUUAUACAAUUUGGCAUUCUUGUUUGCCCAAGUAAUUACUUGGGCAGUAUGAAAUUUGGUAUAAUUGGAUAGGUGUAAUUAUAUUUUCCAAUUCAAGGGAAAAGUGAGAUUGGUGGUAA